RNAcentral lists this ribosomal RNA (446 nucleotides) under uncultured bacterium. RNAcentral describes it as "partial 16S ribosomal RNA". It matches the Rfam family "Bacterial small subunit ribosomal RNA", at positions 354 to 796 of the family's 1533-position model. The record is from RNAcentral.
GUAAGGAAUAUUGGUCAAUGGGGGCAACCCUGAACCAGCCAUGUCGCGUGAAGGAUGAAGGCGUUAUGCGUUGUAAACUUCUUUUGUAUGGGAAGAAUGACAGGGAUUCAUCCUUGGAGAGACGGUACCAUACGAAUAAGCACCGGCUAACUCCGUGCCAGCAGCCGCGGUAAUACGGAGGGUGCAAGCGUUAUCCGGAAUCACUGGGUUUAAAGGGUACGUAGGCGGUUAAUUAAGUCAGUAGUGAAAGACUGUCGCUCAACGACGGAUGUGCUAUUGAUACUGGUUAACUUGAAUUAGGUUAGAGUUGGCGGAAUGGGUCAUGUAGCGGUGAAAUGCUUAGAUAUGACUUGGAACACCGAUAGCGAAGGCAGCUGACUGAGCCUUGAUUGACGCUGAGGUACGAAAGUGUGGGUAGCGAACAGGAUUAGAAACCCCAGUAGUCC